RNAcentral lists this transfer RNA (86 nucleotides) under Xenopus tropicalis (tropical clawed frog). RNAcentral's name for it is "Xenopus (Silurana) tropicalis (western clawed frog) tRNA". It matches the Rfam family "tRNA". Rfam says of the family: Transfer RNA (tRNA) molecules are approximately 80 nucleotides in length. Their secondary structure includes four short double-helical elements and three loops (D, anti-codon, and T loops). The record is from Rfam by way of RNAcentral. Lineage: Eukaryota; Metazoa; Chordata; Amphibia; Anura; Pipidae.
GGCUCUGUGGCGCAAUGGAUAGCGCAUUGGACUUCUAGAUAAGUAAAGGUAUUCAAAGGUUGUGGGUUCGAGUCCCACCAGAGUCG